UACGGAGGAUGCAAGCGUUAUCCGGAAUGAUUGGGCGUAAAGCGUCCGCAGGUGGCUGUGUAAGUCUGCUGUCAAAGAGCGAAGCUCAACUUCGUAAAGGCAGUGGAAACUACACGGCUAGAGUGCGUUCGGGGCAAAGGGAAUUCCUGGUGUAGCGGUGAAAUGCGUAGAGAUCAGGAAGAACACCGGUGGCGAAGGCGCUCUGCUAGGCCGCAACUGACACUGAGGGACGAAAGCUAGGGGAGCGAAUGGG
This 253-nucleotide ribosomal RNA is filed under the name uncultured bacterium. RNAcentral's name for it is "partial 16S ribosomal RNA". It matches the Rfam family "Bacterial small subunit ribosomal RNA", at positions 524 to 776 of the family's 1533-position model. The record is from RNAcentral.